UCUCUCUCUCUCUCUCUCUCUCUCUCUCUCUCUCUCUCUCUCUCUCUCUCUCUGAUCUUGGAUCCCCGGCGACCAACAACUACCAUGGGUAGCAUAGCUAGCAGCACAUCGACAUCUUCCACCACCACUAGCACCACCAAGUUGUGACAGCUCCUGGUGCUCCGGCCUCUAGACGCGCAUCUCUCGUAGUUUCCCCCACCAGACUAGUGGAUUGUUAUCAACGUCGCUUUUGGUUGCAAUCCUUCCGAUUAAGGUUAGUUCAUGGAGCAUUGUAGUGAACUCUGCGGUGUUGUCGGGACCUUGUGAUUGGACCUCUAGGGCGUUUGCAUUUUUAUUUCUUUUAUCGUGUCAAAAUGCUUUCGAACGUUUAUUUAUUAGCUUCCGCACUUUUAUUUAUUGGCAAUUCUUGGGGAAUUUGGAGUUAGAGAAUAUCGGAUAUUGUGGCCAUCUUGUUAUGGAAAAAUAUUGAUUUUGGGUUUGCACAUUUUGCUUUAAUAAAAUAUCCAAUUUUUACUUUAUUUGGUUUAAGUUGCUAAAACUAUUUUUUUAAUUAGGCUUUGUGUCCCACGAUUGCUUCAUGGUACACGGCUGGUCAUGCUCCCGAAUUUGGGGCGUGACAGCGUUGAACCCUAACCAAAUUGUUUUUCGCUGAGUAAAUUUGAACCGAUUUCAUGAAACCUUUAUUCUCGUUAUUGGAGGAAUUUCAUCUCUUUACUUGCUAAUCAUCAUCCCUUCAUUCUGUUCUUGAAAUUGCUGGAGAUUGUUGUCCUCUAAAUUGCAGAUCUUGAUCUCAGUGUCGAGUAAGUCUCAAACUCUACACCUGGGAGGUCAGAUUUCCAAUAUUUGAUACUACAUUUAUCUUACGAUUUUCUCUAUUAUUUAUUCUUAUACCUUAUACAGGGACGGUAUAACUAAUGCUAAAGUUCUCUCUCAUAUUGUUGAAAGUAAAAACAUUAAUGAACUUUUACAGGUGUGAGGAUGGCCGAAAAUAAUGUUUUAUUCCUGUUUCCAUGUUAUAGCUUAUUUGUUUAUAUAAAUAGUUAGUGAUAAUCUUUACUAUGUCUGAUUUCUAGUUCUUCUUAGAUGUCAUGCACCUAAAGCAGCCAAUUGUAUUAGUUUAUCAUCCCCUUAUCUUGAUUGUAGUCGUGCCUUGAAAUGUUAUGAGAUGCAAAGUAUGUGGCCUUGGUUAUAUGCGUACUUUUACAUUUUGAUGACCUUUGUAGUUCAUAAAAAUCGCAGGUCAAAGGACAAUUACUCUUGCAAAGAUUAGUAUUGAGGAGUGAGUUGAGGUUUACUUGAAAUCUAAUCUGCCUUGAGUGCCUUCAUAUUUAUCAAAUGAUACAAAGAUUAGUGGAAACUAAUAAUAUGAACUAUACUUACAAAUGGGUUGUUUUCUUUGGUUGAUUCAUUGCCAAAAUUUAGUUUGACUAGUACUUUGGGGACUACAUUUUGGGUACCAUGUAAUGUGUUAUCAAUAUAUUUGUAGAAUGUGCCCCAUUUGUCAUUUAUUGGAGCAUAUUCGACCAAUGCAAUGGGGACACAUCGCAUGGUAUCCAAAAUGUGAUACCUAAAUAUGGUCACCCUAGCGUUGCUCAUCAAGUUUUCCUAUGCUAGCAUGUGCUUUGGAUGCCAUACAUUGUUGUUUCAAGUCACACAAAUGCAAUAUGUUGUUUGUUGUUUUAAGUCACACAAAUGCAAUUUGUAGUUUGCCUAUUAUUGGUCUAAGAUUGGAAUGUUAAAAUUUGCUUUCUUAGUUACACACCUUUGUGAGAUUUUUUGUUUUGAACUUCUGUUUGACAGCUUGUAUGUAAGUAAUGAGCAGUUUUUUUAAGGUAUUUUUGUAUAUGUUUGAGUUGUGUAGAUGUCUUAUAGAUUAGAAAAACUAAGUUCUAUGUAGUUUACUUCUCUCUCUCUCUGUGUGUGUUACUUUUACUUACCAGACAUAU
Molecule: long non-coding RNA, 1946 nt
Organism: Rhododendron vialii
Lineage: Eukaryota; Viridiplantae; Streptophyta; Magnoliopsida; Ericales; Ericaceae
Exons: 3
Source: RefSeq, a predicted model, not a curated record